GGCUCAGGACGAACGCUGGCGGCGUGCCUAAUACAUGCAAGUCGAACGGUCUUUCUAUGGAAGCUUGGCUUCCACUGAGAAGAUAGUGGCGAACGGGUGAGGUAACACCGUGGGGUAACCCUGCCCAUAAGAGGGGGGAUAACAUCCGGAAACGGGUGCUAAUACCGCAUAGUUUCUUGAUCGCAUGAUCGGGAAAGGAAAGACGGCCUUUGUGCUGUCGCUUAUGGAUGGACCCGCGGCGUAUUAGUUAGUUGGUGAGGUAACGGCUCACCAAGACGAUGAUACGUAGCCGACCUGAGAGGGUGAUCGGCCACAUUGGGACUGAGACACGGCCCAAACUCCUACGGGAGGCAGCAGUAGGGAAUCUUCCGCAAUGGACGAAAGUCUGACGGAGCAACGCCGCGUGAGUGAAGAAAAGGUUUUCGGAUCGUAAAACUCUGUUGUCAGAGAAGAACAAGUUGGAGAGUAACUGCUCCAGCCUUGACGGUAUCUGACCAGAAAGCCACGGCUAACUACGUGCCAGCCGCGGC
This 530-nucleotide ribosomal RNA is filed under the name uncultured bacterium. RNAcentral describes it as "bacterial SSU rRNA". It matches the Rfam family "Bacterial small subunit ribosomal RNA", at positions 21 to 518 of the family's 1533-position model. The record is from RNAcentral.